Molecule: ribosomal RNA, 253 nt
Filed under: uncultured bacterium
Lineage: Bacteria
Description: partial 16S ribosomal RNA
Rfam family: Bacterial small subunit ribosomal RNA
Source: RNAcentral
UACGUAGGGUGCGAGCGUUAAUCGGAAUUACUGGGUGUACAGGGUGCGCAGGCGGACUUGUUAGUCAGAGGUGAAAUCUCACUGCUCAACAGUGAAACUGCCUUUGAUACUGCAGGUCUUGAAUCCAGAAGAGAGUUGUGGAAUUCCGAGUGUAGCAGUGAAAUGUGUAGAUAUUCGGAAGAACACCAGCGGCGAAGGCAGCAACUUGGUCUGGUAUUGACGCUCAGGCACGAAAGCAUGGGGAUCAAACAGG